AUUGAACGCUGGCGGCAUGCUUUACACAUGCAAGUCGAACGGUAACAGGCCUUCGGGUGCUGACGAGUGGCGCACGGGUGAGUAAUGCAUCGGAACGUGCCCAGAGGUGGGGGAUAACGCAGCGAAAGCUGUGCUAAUACCGCAUGUGAUCUGAGGAUGAAAGCGGGGGACCAAGCAGCAAUGUUUGGCCUCGCGCCUCUGGAGCGGCCGAUGUCAGGUUAGGUAGUUGGUGGGGUAAAGGCCUACCAAGCCGACGAUCUGUAGCUGGUCUGAGAGGACGACCAGCCACACUGGGACUGAGACACGGCCCAGACUCCUACGGGAGGCAGCAGUGGGGAAUUUUGGACAAUGGGCGCAAGCCUGAUCCAGCAAUGCCGCGUGCGGGAAGAAGGCCUUCGGGUUGUAAACCGCUUUUGUACGGAACGAAAAGGCUCUGGCUAAUACCUGGGGCUGAUGACGGUACCGUAAGAAUAAGCACCGGCUAACUACGUG
This 492-nucleotide ribosomal RNA is filed under the name uncultured bacterium. RNAcentral's name for it is "partial 16S ribosomal RNA". It matches the Rfam family "Bacterial small subunit ribosomal RNA", at positions 30 to 507 of the family's 1533-position model. The record is from RNAcentral.